GCAUAUCAAUAAGCGGAGGAAAAGAAACCAACAGGGAUUGCCCUAGUAACGGCGAGUGAAGCGGCAACAGCUCAAAUUUGAAAUCUGGCUCUUUCAGGGUCCGAGUUGUAAUUUGCAGAGGGCGCUUUGGCUUUGGCAGCGGUCCAAGUUCCUUGGAACAGGACGUCACAGAGGGUGAGAAUCCCGUACGUGGUCGCUAGCUAUUGCCGUGUAAAGCCCCUUCGACGAGUCGAGUUGUUUGGGAAUGCAGCUCUAAAUGGGAGGUAAAUUUCUUCUAAAGCUAAAUACUGGCCAGAGACCGAUAGCGCACAAGUAGAGUGAUCGAAAGAUGAAAAGCACUUUGGAAAGAGAGUCAAACAGCACGUGAAAUUGUUGAAAGGGAAGCGCUUGCAGCCAGACUUGCUUGCAGUUGCUCAUCCGGACUUUUGUCCGGUGCACUCUUCUGCAGGCAGGCCAGCAUCAGUUUGGGCGGUGGGAUAAAGGUCUCUGUCACGUACCUCUCUUCGGGGAGGCCUUAUAGGGGAGACGACAUACCACCAGCCUGGACUGAGGUCCGCGCAUUUGCUAGGAUGCUGGCGUAAUGGCUGUAAGCGGCCCGUCUUGAAACACGGACCAAGGAGUCUAACAUCUAUGCGAGUGUUUGGGUGUCAAGCCCGAACGCGUAAUGAAAGUGAACGGAGGUGGGAACCCGCAAGGGUGCACCAUCGACCGAUCCUGAUGUCUUCGGAAGGAUUUGAGUAAGAGCAUGGCUGUUGGGACCCGAAAGAUGGUGAACUAUGCUUGAAUAGGGUGAAGCCAGAGGAAACUCUGGUGGAGGCUCGCAGCGGUUCUGACGUGCAAAUCGAUCGUCAAAUUUGGGCAUAGGGGCGAAAGACUAAUCGAACUAUCUAGUAGCUGGUUCCUGCG
This 906-nucleotide ribosomal RNA is filed under the name Pyrenophora biseptata. Its description in RNAcentral is "LSU rRNA". It matches the Rfam family "Eukaryotic large subunit ribosomal RNA", at positions 38 to 962 of the family's 3401-position model. Lineage: Eukaryota; Fungi; Ascomycota; Dothideomycetes; Pleosporales; Pleosporaceae. The record is from RNAcentral.